GCUCCAAUAGCUCAGUUGGUAGAGCGCGACACUAGUAUCUUCAUACAGUGUCAUGUCGAGGUCCUUGGUUCGAAUCCAGGUUGGAGCA
This is a non-coding RNA of Orbilia brochopaga, 88 nucleotides long. The record is from the annotation of a GenBank genome assembly. NCBI's taxonomy places the organism in Eukaryota, Fungi, Ascomycota, Orbiliomycetes, Orbiliales, Orbiliaceae.